UACAGAGGUCUCGAGCGUUAUUCGGAAUCACUGGGCUUAAAGCGUGCGUAGGCGGAUGUGCAGGCGUCGUGUGAAAGCCCUCGGCUCAACCGGGGAAUUGCACGGCGAACCGCAUGUCUUGAGACAAGUAGGGGCGGUCGGAACGAUAGGUGGAGUGGUGAAAUGCGUUGAUAUCUAUCGGAACGCCAAAGGUGAAGACAGACCGCUGGGCUUGUUCUGACGCUGAGGCACGAAAGCGUGGGGAGCAAACGGG
This 253-nucleotide ribosomal RNA is filed under the name uncultured bacterium. RNAcentral's name for it is "partial 16S ribosomal RNA". It matches the Rfam family "Bacterial small subunit ribosomal RNA", at positions 524 to 776 of the family's 1533-position model. The record is from RNAcentral.